UACGUAGGGUGCAAGCGUUAAUCGGAGUUACUGGGCGUAAAGCGUGCGCAGGCGGCUUUGCAAGACAGAUGUGAAAUCCCCGGGCUCAACCUGGGAACUGCAUUUGUGACUGCAUAGCUGGAGUGCGGCAGAGGGGGAUGGAAUUCCGCGUGUAGCAGUGAAAUGCGUAGAUAUGCGGAGGAACACCGAUGGCGAAGGCAAUCCCCUGGGCCUGCACUGACGCUCAUGCACGAAAGCGUGGGGAGCAAACAGG
Molecule: ribosomal RNA, 253 nt
Filed under: uncultured bacterium
Lineage: Bacteria
Description: partial 16S ribosomal RNA
Rfam family: Bacterial small subunit ribosomal RNA
Source: RNAcentral